AUGAACGCUGGCGGCGUGCCUAAUACAUGCAAGUCGAGCGAACAGAUGAGGAGCUUGAUCCUCUGACGUUAGCGGCGGACGGGUGACUCACACGUGGAUAACCUACCUAUAAGACUGGGAUAACUUCGGGAAACCGGAGCUAAUACCGGAUAAUAUAUUGAACCGCAUGGUUCAAUAGUGAAAGACGGUUUUGCUGUCACUUAUAGAUGGAUCCGCGCCGCAUUAGCUAGUUGGUAAGGUAACGGCUUACCAAGGCAACGAUGCGUAGCCGACCUGAGAGGGUGAUCGGCCACACUGGAACUGAGACACGGUCCAGACUCCUACGGGAGGCAGCAGUAGGGAAUCUUCCGCAAUGGGCGAAAGCCUGACGGAGCAACGCCGCGUGAGUGAUGAAGGUCUUCGGAUCGUAAAACUCUGUUAUUAGGGAAGAACAAAUGUGUAAGUAACUAUGCACGUCUUGACGGUACCUAAUCAGAAAGCCACGGCUAACUACGUG
Molecule: ribosomal RNA, 496 nt
Filed under: uncultured bacterium
Lineage: Bacteria
Description: partial 16S ribosomal RNA
Rfam family: Bacterial small subunit ribosomal RNA
Source: RNAcentral